AAAUACCACUACUUUUAACGUUAUUUUACUUAUUCCGUGAAACGGAAGCGGGGCACUGCCCCUCUUUUUGGACAUAAGGCUUACUUCGGUGGGCCGAUCCGGGCGGAAGACAUUGUCAGGUGGGGAGUUUGGCUGGGGCGGCACAU
RNAcentral lists this non-coding RNA (146 nucleotides) under Cucumis melo (muskmelon). RNAcentral's name for it is "Eukaryotic large subunit ribosomal RNA". It matches the Rfam family "Eukaryotic large subunit ribosomal RNA", at positions 2492 to 2638 of the family's 3401-position model. The record is from Rfam by way of RNAcentral. Lineage: Eukaryota; Viridiplantae; Streptophyta; Magnoliopsida; Cucurbitales; Cucurbitaceae.